CCUACGGGGGGCAGCAGUGGGGAAUAUUGCGCAAUGGGCGAAAGCCUGACGCAGCGACGCCGCGUGAGGGAUGAAGGUCUUCGGAUCGUAAACCUCUGUCAGCAGGGAAGAACGGUCACUGUGCUAAUCAGCAGUGAAUUGACGGUACCUGCAAAGGAAGCACCGGCUAACUCCGUGCCAGCAGCCGCGGUAAUACGGAGGGUGCGAGAGUUAAUCGGAAUUACUGGGCGUAAAGCGCUCGUAGGCGGUAUGUCAAGUCAAGGGUGAAAUCCCCGCGCUCAACGUGGGAACUGCCUGUGAAACUGGCAAACUGGAGUGUGUGAGAGGAUAGUGGAAUUCCAGGUGUAGGGGUGAAAUGCGUAGAUAUCAGGAGGAACAUCAGUGGCGAAGGCGACUAUCUGGCACAUAACUGACGCUGAGGAGCGAAAGCGUGGGUAGCAAACAGGAUUAGAUACCCUUGUAGUC
RNAcentral lists this ribosomal RNA (465 nucleotides) under uncultured bacterium. Its description in RNAcentral is "partial 16S ribosomal RNA". It matches the Rfam family "Bacterial small subunit ribosomal RNA", at positions 338 to 795 of the family's 1533-position model. The record is from RNAcentral.